RNAcentral lists this ribosomal RNA (466 nucleotides) under uncultured Syntrophomonas sp. RNAcentral describes it as "bacterial SSU rRNA". It matches the Rfam family "Bacterial small subunit ribosomal RNA", at positions 338 to 795 of the family's 1533-position model. Lineage: Bacteria; Bacillati; Bacillota; Clostridia; Eubacteriales; Syntrophomonadaceae. The record is from RNAcentral.
CCUACGGGAGGCAGCAGUGGGGAAUAUUGCGCAAUGGGGGAAACCCUGACGCAGCGACGCCGCGUGAGCGAAGAAGGCCUUAGGGUCGUAAAGCUCUGUUUUAGGGGACGAAUGUCGAGAGGAAUAAUACGUCUCUCGAAUGACGGUACCCUAAGAGGAAGCCCCGGCUAACUACGUGCCAGCAGCCGCGGUAAGACGUAGGGGGCGAGCGUUGUCCGGAAUUACUGGGCGUAAAGAGCACGUAGGCGGGACUUUAAGUCAGAUGUGAAAGACCGGGGCUCAACCCCGGGGUUGCAUUUGAAACUGGAGUUCUUGAGGGCAGGAGAGGGCAGUAGAAUUCCUGGUGUAGCGGUGAAAUGCGUAGAAAUCAGGAGGAAUACCAGUGGCGAAGGCGACUGUCUGGACUGACCCUGACGCUGAGGUGCGAAAGCGUGGGUAGCAAACAGGAUUAGAUACCCCUGUAGUC